CCGUGCUAGAUGGGGAGGUAGCGGUGCCCUGUAACUCGCAAUCCGCUGUAGCGAGGUUGAAUUCCUAUUAGAGGUCUUGUCGAUGUGAGGUUUGGUCCUUGCAGUCAAUGUUGACGGCUGGGUCCUCCGCAAUGAGUAACUGUGAACCUGGUCAGGUCCGGAAGGAAGCAGCCAUAAGCAGUCUCACUCUUGUGCCGGAGGGUGGCCUAGCCCGAGUUGAUCUGCAAGGGUGCCGCUUGGAUCGCAAUGAUCGAUAAUAGGUGCACGG
This 268-nucleotide signal recognition particle RNA is filed under the name Paenibacillus zeisoli. RNAcentral describes it as "Bacterial large signal recognition particle RNA". It matches the Rfam family "Bacterial large signal recognition particle RNA". Rfam says of the family: The signal recognition particle (SRP) is a universally conserved ribonucleoprotein involved in the co-translational targeting of proteins to membranes. Archaeal SRP consists of a 7S RNA and homologues of the eukaryotic SRP19 and SRP54 proteins. The record is from Rfam by way of RNAcentral. Lineage: Bacteria; Bacillati; Bacillota; Bacilli; Caryophanales; Paenibacillaceae.